CCUACGGGAGGCAGCAGUGAGGAAUAUUGGUCAAUGGUCGGGAGCCUGAACCAGCCAAGUAGCGUGAGGGAUGACUGCACUACGGGUUGUAAACUUCUUUUGUAAAGGAAUAAAGUCAGGCACGUGUGCCUUGUUGUGUGUACUUGAUGAAUAAGGAUCGGCUAACUCCGUGCCAGCAGCCGCGGUAAUACGGAGGAUCCGAGCGUUAUCCGGAUUUAUUGGGUUUAAAGGGAGCGUAGAUGGGUUGUUAAGUCAGUUGGGAAAGGUUGCGGCUCAACCGUAAAACUGCAAUUGAUACUGGAAGUCUUGAGUACAGUUGAGGUAGGCGGAAUUCGUGGUGUAGCGGUGAAAUGCUUAGAUAUCACGCAGAACUCCGAUUGCGAAGGCAGCAUACUAA
This 397-nucleotide ribosomal RNA is filed under the name uncultured bacterium. RNAcentral's name for it is "partial 16S ribosomal RNA". It matches the Rfam family "Bacterial small subunit ribosomal RNA", at positions 338 to 732 of the family's 1533-position model. The record is from RNAcentral.